Molecule: ribosomal RNA, 142 nt
Filed under: Aliiglaciecola sp. M165
Lineage: Bacteria; Pseudomonadati; Pseudomonadota; Gammaproteobacteria; Alteromonadales; Alteromonadaceae
Description: partial 16S ribosomal RNA
Rfam family: Bacterial small subunit ribosomal RNA
Source: RNAcentral
UCACACCAUGGGAGUGGGAUGCAAAAGAAGUGGAUAGUCUAACCUUCGGGGGGACGUUCACCACUUUGUGUUUCAUGACUGGGGUGAAGUCGUAACAAGGUAACCCUAGGGGAACCUGGGGUUGGAUCACCUCCUUACACAA